This 223-nucleotide unclassified non-coding RNA is filed under the name plant metagenome. Its description in RNAcentral is "partial contains small subunit ribosomal RNA, internal transcribed spacer 1, and 5.8S ribosomal RNA". The record is from RNAcentral.
UUUCCGUAGGUGAACCUGCGGAAGGAUCAUUAAAGAGCAUAUGCUCUUCGGGGUAGAUCUCCCACCCUUUGUUUAUAUUACCUUUGUUGCUUUGGCAGGCCCGUCUUCGGACCACCGGCUUCGGCUGGUCAGUGCUUGCCAGAGGACCCAAAACUCUUAUUAUUAAUGUCGUCUGAGUACUAUAUAAUAGUUAAAACUUUCAACAACGGAUCUCUUGGUUCUG